RNAcentral lists this ribosomal RNA (292 nucleotides) under uncultured bacterium. RNAcentral's name for it is "partial 16S ribosomal RNA". It matches the Rfam family "Bacterial small subunit ribosomal RNA", at positions 505 to 796 of the family's 1533-position model. The record is from RNAcentral.
GUGUCAGCCGCCGCGGUAAUACGUAGGUGGCAAGCGUUGUCCGGAUUUACUGGGCGUAAAGAGCGCGCAGGCGGCCGAGUCAGUCGAAUGUGAAAGCCCCCGGCUCAACUGGGGAGGGUCAUUCGAUACUGCUCGGCUUGAAGAUGGGAGAGGGAAGCGGAAUUUCAGGUGUAGUGGUGAAAUGCGUAGAUAUCUGAAGGAACACCAGUGGCGAAGGCGGCUUUCUGGCCCAUUCUUGACGCUGAGGCGCGAAAGCUAGGGGAGCAAACGGGAUUAGAAACCCCUGUAGUCC